Long non-coding RNA from Ipomoea nil (Japanese morning glory), 1512 nucleotides. RefSeq lists it as uncharacterized. Lineage: Eukaryota; Viridiplantae; Streptophyta; Magnoliopsida; Solanales; Convolvulaceae. The transcript is spliced from 2 exons. The record is from RefSeq and is a predicted model, not a curated record.
GGUGUAGGUUUUGUUGUUCAAAAGUUUCUUCCCUACUUAUCCUCAUCCUCGCUUUGGAGCUGUUUAUCCAACGCCGCCGCAUAGGAGACAGUGAAUUCUCAGCCGUACGUCAAUAAUCCUCUCUCGAUAGGUCAAGAUCCCAAUGCUAAAAGCGUCCAAUUGGUGUUCUUAGGAUUUCCCUGCGUCGGAAUGGGGGCUUACGGUAGUCGACUUUCUACACUCUUCGGAGGUCAGCAGAUCGCCACCGGCGACUGCAAUUUACUCCCAUUCAAGCGUAUGCGUUAGCUAUUUUUUUUAAAGGUUGAGGUGGGAUGGAAUUUUGCUCUUGUUAAGGCAAUAAAUUAGAGUCUCUGAUGCGCUUUGUCCAUGGCGUUUUCAGCGCUGUACGUUGCCGAUAAUGAAAUGGAGCUGAGAUUCUGGCAUUCCUUUCUGUUACCGGGAAUCUUAUGCAUUCAGAUGUUCCUACACUCCUUGUCUGUUUAACGCUGUACGUUGCCGAUAAUGAAUUGGAGCUGAGAUUCUAGCGUAUCUUUCUGUUUUCCAGAAAGUGUAUGCAUUCAGACGUUCCGACACGCAUAAAUUUGCCCAAGUAUUUUGAGUUCUAUUUUUUUGUCAUUCGGUUCCUUGAAGGCAAUAAAUUAGAGUCUCUGAUGCGCAUUGUCCAUGGCGUUUUCAGCGCUGUACGUUGACGAUAAUGAAUUGGAGCUGAGAUUCUGGCAUGUCUUUCUUUUUUUUUUCGGAAGGUAUAUGCAUUCAGAUGGUCCAACAUUAUAAAUCUGGUGCUGAUAUGCGUGCGUGAUUUUAUACGUUGCAUAUGAAUGAGAUAAAUAUCUUAAAUGCAGUAUUAAUUUUCACAAAUUUCUUUUCAUACAGUUUUUAUUUGUUUACUGGUGCAAAUAAGGAAGGUGAUGAUUGUUAUUUGUCGCCCCAGUCUUAGUUGCGUUCAUGGAUGCAACAUGGUGAUUGACAUGUCAUUUCUGAUUCCAUUUUGCCUAUUUUGAGUUGCAUUUGACAUAGGGUUUGUUAACUACUUCUAGUUAGGAACAUAUGCAGAUAUGCAAGGAGGUGUGAUGAUUGUUAUCCAUAUUAAUCUGUAUGUUUCAGUGAUGAUUUCAAAACAUGCACUACCAUCUGAUCUCUGUUGCAUAUCUCAUGUUUUUAGUGUUGUAUUCUGACUUCGUUGAUGCAAUCAAUGAUGCUAUUUACCCAAAACUUCUGAUGUACAUGUACUGUGAUUGUCAUUAAAAUUAUCACCAUCUUUCCACUGAGGUUGCAUCUGAACUCUGAAGCUUAUCUACAAUUUUCUGUUUCUCUGUUUUCAAUUUCUGAUGUCAUCUAUCAUUUCUCUUUCUACAAAUGUACAAGAAGUUCCCGUGCUGCAGUCUCUGGUUUUUUCUUCACUGUGGUUUUUUUGAAAUUGAUACUUGCCUGUGGUAUCUAAUGUCCAGAGUGUUUGUAUUGCUGGAUGUUUCGUUUUGAGGGCAUAAAUAUGAAGCAGAUCUUGCGACACAG